Dipodomys ordii (Ord's kangaroo rat) is the source of this 128-nucleotide small nucleolar RNA. The record is from Ensembl. NCBI's taxonomy places the organism in Eukaryota, Metazoa, Chordata, Mammalia, Rodentia, Heteromyidae.
GGUGAGGUCUUUACCGGUGGAGCAUCUGUGGCAACACAUUGUUGGAAACACCUCACAGAGUAAAUAUGUGGUGCGCUUUACUCACAGGACUAUCCUCUAUGUCUGUGGUAAGUAACUGCAAGACACAA